UUAGCAUGGAAUAAUAGAAUAGGACCAGUGGUUCUGUUUUGUUGGUUUCGGAGCCGCGGUAAUGAUUAAUAGGGACAGUUGGGGGCAUUUGUAUCUCGCAGCUAGAGGUGAAAUUCUUGGAUUUGCGAGCGACAAACUUAUGCGAAAGCAUCUGCCAAGGAUGUUUUCAUUGAUCAAGAACGAAAGUUAGGGGAUCGAAGACGAUUAGAUACCGUCGUAGUCUUAACCAUAAACGAUGCCGACUAGGGAUCAGGCGAUGUUGUUUACUGACUCGCUUGGCACCUUUGGAGAAAUCAAAGUAGGGUUCUGGGGGGAGUAUAGUCGCAAGGCCGAAACUUAAAGGAAUUGACGGAAGGGCACCACCAGGAGUGGAGCCUGCGGCUUAAUUUGACUCAACACGGGGAAACUCACCAGGUCCAGACAUGAAAAGGAUUGACAGAUUGAAAGCUCUUUCUUGAUUUUAUGGGUGGUGGUGCAUGGCCGUUCUUAGUUGGUGGAGUGAUUUGUCUGCUUAAUUGCGAUAACGAACGAGACCUUAACCUGCUAACUAGCGAUGGUCAGCCGCAAGGCUGGCUAGACCGCUUCUUAGAGGGACUAUUGGCGUUUAGCCAAUGGAAGUUUGAGGCAAUAACAGGUCUGUGAUGCCCUUAGAUGUUUUGGGCCGCACGCGCGCUACACUGACAAAGCCAGCGAGUAUAUAGCCUUGGCCGUAAGGUCCGGGUAAUCUUGUUAAACUUUGUCGUGCUGGGGAUAGAGCAUUGCAAUA
This 766-nucleotide ribosomal RNA is filed under the name uncultured Dikarya. RNAcentral's name for it is "bacterial SSU rRNA". It matches the Rfam family "Eukaryotic small subunit ribosomal RNA", at positions 804 to 1591 of the family's 1831-position model. Lineage: Eukaryota; Fungi. The record is from RNAcentral.